RNAcentral lists this long non-coding RNA (5084 nucleotides) under Homo sapiens (human). Its description in RNAcentral is "HSALNT0367265". The record is from RNAcentral. Lineage: Eukaryota; Metazoa; Chordata; Mammalia; Primates; Hominidae.
CCGGCACUCCCCGGCGCUCCCCGCGCCGCGCGCCCCGCACCGGCUGGAGGCCCCGGCCCCCCGGCGUUCCCUCUCCGCGCACCUCCCGGCCCGCGCUAGGUAGCAGGCAAGAGUGUGGUUAUCGUUGGACCAGGAUUCAGGAUCUGACUGAGUAGCUGACUCUUAAUCCAGUUUGUGUUGAUCACCAGGAGGAUCUGGACCUCAGUAUUACCACAUCUAGAGCUAUAAUCACAUCCCUGUUAAGCCUUCCUGAGAUCACACCAAAUGUCCUUGAUGGGAAUUGUAAACAACCCUUACUUCUGGUUUCUAAUGAUAUUCCAGGAAAGGAGCCUAACUAGAGUCAGUGAUAUGCCAACUCCACCUUUGCCUUCCACCAUGUUUGGAAGCUCCCUGAGGCCUCACCAGGAGCAGAUGCUCGUCCCAUGCUUCCUAUAAGCCUGCAGAACUGGAAAAGAAAGCUGGAUAAAGUAUUUAUAGAAGAUAGAGGACCUGUGGUGGCUCAUGCCUGUAAUCCAAGGUGGAAGGAUUGCUUGAGGCCAGAAGUUCAAGACCAGUCCAAGCAACAUAGCAAGGCCCCAUCUCUACAAAAAAUGAAAAUAAAAUUAGCCGAGCGUGAUGGCUCAUGCCUGUAGUUCUAGCUUCUAGAGAGGCUGAGGCAGGAGGAUUGCUUGAGUCCAGGAGUUCAAGAUUACAGUGAGCUAUGGUCACACCACUGCACUCCAGCCUGGGUGAUGGAGUGAGACUGUCUCAAUAAAAAGACAAAAAGGUCAAGGAAGCUUUUCCUGAUCCACUAACUAAGGACAAUCAAACCCUUCAUGAUCUAGAAUCUGGAGACUGUGUCUUCUGGGAAUAGUAUCAGAGAAAGACUGCCCUUACUGCCCACAUGUAGCAAAACUUUGAGACGUUGAAUUAUGGGUCCAUAAUCUCACAACUCAGAGGGGCACCUCUAGACUCUUGGAACUGUAUAUCUAUUGGAGACUUUAAGGUAAAGCUGAACAGAGAGACGUUUUUCUCCAGAAGCAGACAGCACCAUAGUCAUGGACAGCUUUCCCAAGAUCACAGAUCAAGACUUCUCUGCCGUCAUGAGACUCAUAACCUCUUAAUUUUUUCUUGCUUAUGCUUCUGUGAACAAUAGAAUUGGAAAAGGGGUGGUCCCGCGUGCACCCAUAGGGUAUACUUUUAUUUGUGGAGGAUUUUGCUGCCAACCUUAUACAUGGGCAAACUUAUGCCUUCAUGGAUGGAAGAUAAAGGGCUAAUAUGGGUUAGAAAUUUUAAUGGUACCUUUGUUUCUCCAUAAUCAUUCAGAAACAGAACACUGGUCCACUCUUGUUAACCUACAUCAUAGGUUGAAGAGAACAUUGCCAGGAGGCCUUCAUCCUUCCAGAUGGGCACCAUUUGUUGGGUCUUUUUCCGUGGUAUGAAGAAAAUGAAGCAAUGAUUAGAAAUUGGUCCCUCGGCCGGGCACAAUGGCUCAUGCCUGUAAUCCCAUCACUUUGGCAGGCCGAGGCGGGUGGAUCACCUGAGGUCAGGAGUUUGAGACCAGCCUGACCAAUGUGGUGAAACGCCAUCUCUACUAAAAAUACAAAAAUUAGCUGGGUGUGAUGGUGCACACCUGUAAUCCAGCUACUCGGGAGGCUGAGACAGGAGAAUUGCUUGAACCUGGGAGGCAGAGGUUGCAGUGAGCCAAGAUCACCCCACUGCAUUCCAGGUUGGGCAACAGAGCAAGACUCUGUCUCAAAAAAAAAAGAAGAAAGAAAGAAAUUGAUCCCUCAUAAUAGGCUGUAUAGCAGAUUCUACUGCAAAGGCUAUGGUUGCACAACAGACUUCUUUGAAUUUGCUUGCUAAACUUUUACUGGAUAAUACUGGGAUUACAGGUGUGAGCCACUGUGCCCAGCCUCUCCUGUUUAACUGUAUUCAUUCUAAUGUUUACUUACUUCUUUAAUUUGUAAAAUUGGGUCACUUAGAGUUUUUUUAGCCUAUCUUGCCAUUUAGCCACUGUUACUGAUAAUUUGGAUGGAAAAGAAAAAUAAAUUAUAUCACCUCUCAUCUUCAGUGUAUAUAUGUGUUAACUUAGUAAAUAUAGUAUUCUUUCUCGUUCCUAAUGAAAAUUUAGUUUACGUACUGAAACACUGCAAACUUUUAUAAAUAUUGUGAUGUAUUUGACCAAUACAAAGGAUCUUUUUAGAAACAGCAAACAGUUCUCAGAUUAUAGGAAUUACUCAUUUAAUGAUAGUUUCUUCUUAAAAAAAAAAAAGAAAAAUGUUUAGUUACCGAAUCAUAAACAACCCCUUAAAAGACACUCAGAUAAUCUCAUGGGUCAGGAAGAUGAUGAUCAGUAUAUUUGGUUAAUAAAAUAUAGCAUAGAAAGCAUAAACCAUAAAUGGAAAAUAUAACAGAUUGUACCAAAGAGAAUACAUUGAAAUACAUUAAGAAAUCGGAUUUAAACUAUGAUUGGAUCCUUCUUUAGGUGGAAGUUAUUUGAGAGAAUAAUUCCAUGAAAAUUAAAAAUUCAUGAUUCUUUCAUUGUAGGCUAGAAAAAUGGAUUUAGUCAGCUGAGAUUAAGUAUGGGGGACUCUACAAGAACCUAUGCUAGGAUAAGAAUAUUGGAGGAAAAACAGUGGAUGAGGUACCAGAUGUUAUGGCAUUCCAUCUUUGUAAAUACAUGCAAUAAAAUCUGGUCUAUCUAGCUUUCUUUCAACCUAAAUGCCACUCACCAAUCUCACUACAUUUCUGCAGUACUGUAAUUGAGGUUUAUAAUGAUGACCCUGACAUGACUUGUGAAUCAUAGCAGAAGAUUAAAUUAUGUUCUGCUUUUUCCUUCAUGUAUUUAAUUAUAUUUAUAUUAGUUGCAAACUGGAAAUCUGAUCUGUUUUAAAACCCUGCUAGAUUAACCAGAGCCUCUUUAUCAGGGACCCAACCAUCCUUAAUAGCAGAGUUUAUAGUUCAUGGGGGGGAAAAAAAACCACCCAGGAACUGAUUUUAAAAUGUGACAUUUGUACUUUCAUAGCAAGAAUAAUUAUUACGAGAUAAUUUGGAAUCAUCCAGCCACAUUUUAAAUAACUAUAACAAAUGUGUUAAUAAUAAAUUCUAUAUAGCUACUUCUUUUUAAUAAGUAUACUUCAUAUUCUGUAGUGAGAAAAAAUUUACCUUUGAAUAAAUAAAUCUUCAUCUCGGAUCUGAUAGAAUGUGGUUAGUGUCAACAAGAUAACAGAUAUUAGGCAUAUUUUCAGUUGAAUUGGUUUGUAUGUAAAAGUUUGGUUUGAGGGUCCCAUCAAGCUGCUUCCCAUCUCACCUUUGGUUUACCCAGUGAUGUAUCGUGACCGUGGUGACGAAAAAGGUCUUCUAAUAAACGUGAAUAAGCAUGUGUUAUAGGUCAGAUUUCCUGCAAGAGGAGCCUGAGACAGAGAUUCUUGUUCAAAUGUCUUAUUGAGAAUGGUCUCUCAGGAGAGGGGAAUGUGGGAGGUAGAAUGGAGCAAGAGGAUAAAGCUAAAAAAAAAAAAAAAAGGUGUGGCCCCAGCUGGAGACUGGCUUUGAUCUGAUCCUGUGGGGAACCUGCUAUAGUUUGGAUGUUUGUCCUCCCAAACCUCAAGUUGAAAUUUGAUCCCCAGUGUUGGAAGUAAGGCCUAAUGGGCAGUGUUUGGGUUAUGGGAUAGAUGUCUCAUGAACAGGUGAAUGCCCUCCCUGGGUAGUGGGAAGAAGUGAGUUCUUCCUCUGUUAGUACCUGAGAGAGCUGAUUGUUAAAAAGAGCCUGAUGCGCUCCACCCCUUUACUGACUCCCCACUGCUGGCUUUCUCUCUCACAUGUAAUCUCUGUACACAUGGGCUCCUCUUCACCUUUGGCCAUGAGUGGAAGCAGCCUGAGGUCCCAACCAGCAGCAAGUGCUGGUGCCACGCUUCUUGUACAGUUUGCAGAACCAUGAGCCAAAUAAACCUCUUUAUAAAUUACCCAGCCUUGGGCAUUCCUUUAUAGCAACACAAAACAUUCUUUAUAAAUUCUUUAUAAAUUACCCAUUCUUUAUAAAUUACUCAGCUUCGAGCAUUCCUUUUUAGCAACACAAAACAGACUAAGACAGAACCCUAGAGCAAGAGUGGCACCAUAGAGUUGGUCCCCUUGAGGCAAGGAGCCUGGCCUUUUGUACCCCCAUUGUCAGUCACUCACUGGCAGUGGGUCAGUGAUAACCCCCAGGGAAGGAACUUCUGUUCCCUGAAGGGCAAGGGUAACCUGCCAAGAGCAACUAAUCCCACAGCUAGGGAUGUGUACCACCCCAAGAAGGGGAUCUGGGCAGCGCAUCACUUAUUCACUACACAUGGGAACACUCUCAUAUAUGGGUUAACAGCUGCAGACCAACCCCUAAUAAUCCUAUAACAAGCAAAGCAUACUAUGGAAAGUACUGCAGCAGCCAAACAACAUCCAUGACCUUGUUUGUAAAAGAAUAUAUAUUCAAAGAAUAACUAGGAAAAAAAAAACACAGCUACAGAUGGAAAGAAUACAUCUCCUAACUGGGCUUAGGAACCCUGUCUCCCCUCACCCACCCUUUGUGCCAUGGAGUGGCAGCUGGUGGUGGCUUCUGGGACUGAGACAAGGUGCCCAAUAGGGGAAGAACUGAGGAUGUUAGGAAAAUUUAGGAUAGGUCUAGACAGUCUGGGAUGGGACAAGAGGAGCCUUGGGUUAAGGUUUAUGUCUGAGGCCUACUUGCCUGUCUCCUUCUUUCUUGCCUCCCACUAGCCCUAGAAAUAUGCUUGCCUGCUUAUCUUUCCUCUGCCAAUACCUGCUGCCUACUAGGACUGCUAUCUUCCCUAGCCUCCUCUGCAGUCACCUCUGUCCCUCUUCAGACAGUUUUUCCACCACUUUUCAUAUAACAACAUUCAACUUCAAUUUCCCUGACAUUUUCUGGUAGUUUGACAGUUAAAUAAUAUAGGGAGGGGGAAGAGAGUAGACAUCCUUCCCAUGCUCUUCCCCUUCUUAAAUCAAUUUUUAAAAUUUAUUUUAUUUUAAAAUUUUUAUUUAUUUUGAGACUGAGUUAUGAGUGGCUAAUUUUUGUAUUUUUGGUAGAGAAGGGGUUUUGCCGUGUUGCUCAGACUGAU